CAAUUUCAAUGCAAGUUAUGUGGAAUGGUUACAAUAUUAUUUAAGUUAAAGAACCAAAAUGCAGAUAAAAGAGUGUGAAAAAUGAAUUUCGUUGAUACAUUUGUCUAUGAAGUAUAAAUUAUUGACGUAUCUUGACCUUGAAAAAUGUUAGAAUAAAUUGUAUGACAGAGAAGAUCUUGAAAGCAAACAUGUUCACCAAUUGUAAGAAUCAUGAAGUAUUGUCCACAAACAACUUACAUUUUCUUGAAGACAUGCUAAUUAGAUCCAAGGUACGCCAUACCAUACUGAACCAGAUAGUACGGAGCAUACCGUACCGUACUAGUUUGGUAAGGUACAUACGGUACACCGGGCAUAUCGACACUCGAUAUGCUGAACCGGCCCCCGUAUCGGAAGUACUGAUACAGUUACGGUAGCACCAGUACAAGGGGCCCGGUACCGAGAUGGCAUAUCUUGAUUUUUAGAUCUCUAGGUCCUUAGUCAUAUUGUUCAUGAAACUAUAGAAGGUUUUGGAAGAGUUUCAAUGUUCAAGAUAAAAUGAAGUUUCCUUUGGUUGU
This 554-nucleotide long non-coding RNA is filed under the name Phoenix dactylifera (date palm). Its description in RNAcentral is "long non-coding RNA (PDAC_LNC011802)". Lineage: Eukaryota; Viridiplantae; Streptophyta; Magnoliopsida; Arecales; Arecaceae. The record is from RNAcentral.